GCUGGUUAGGGGUUUUGUAGGGUGCCGUUCAUAAGGAGUUUUUUUAUUGGGAAAGGAAUGGGUAGGUGUAGGAAAAUAUUUCAGAGUUCUAGCAUAAGCUGCUAAGGUAUUUAUCUGGCUAGUCGAUAGGUUUUUGAGCGAGUUUAGGGCUCAUGCAUCGUAAUUGAGUUAACCAACUCUUCCUUCAGUCUACUUAGAAAGUAUGAUAUAGCUUGAUCUACUAACAAAUUACAUUGUGAAACUAGCCUAUCAAAAGCAAACUGAAAUUUCCUCACAGAACCAGUUUGUCUCAGUUGUUUUAACUUAAGCAUGGGAUUUGCAAACUCAUCCCCAAAUGUUUCAACCUACAUAGCCAAUUAUUCCUCCCACUCAGGUAGCCC
This 380-nucleotide long non-coding RNA is filed under the name Nicotiana benthamiana. RNAcentral describes it as "long non-coding RNA (NBEN_LNC040997)". The record is from RNAcentral. Lineage: Eukaryota; Viridiplantae; Streptophyta; Magnoliopsida; Solanales; Solanaceae.